GGGAUAUUAGCUCAGUUGGUUAGAGUACUGGAUUGUGGUUCCAGGGGUCGAGGGUUCGAACCCCUCAUGUCCCCCA
RNAcentral lists this transfer RNA (76 nucleotides) under Spirochaetota bacterium. RNAcentral describes it as "Spirochaetes bacterium (marine sediment metagenome) tRNA-His". It matches the Rfam family "tRNA". Rfam says of the family: Transfer RNA (tRNA) molecules are approximately 80 nucleotides in length. The record is from RNAcentral. Lineage: Bacteria; Pseudomonadati; Spirochaetota.